RNAcentral lists this transfer RNA (85 nucleotides) under Felis catus (domestic cat). It matches the Rfam family "tRNA". From Rfam's summary of the family: Transfer RNA (tRNA) molecules are approximately 80 nucleotides in length. Their secondary structure includes four short double-helical elements and three loops (D, anti-codon, and T loops). The record is from Rfam by way of RNAcentral. Lineage: Eukaryota; Metazoa; Chordata; Mammalia; Carnivora; Felidae.
ACCUGGGUGGCUCAGUCGGUUAAGCAUCUGACUUCGGCUCAGGUCAUGAUCUCACGGUUCGUGGGUUCAAGCCCCGCACCAGGCU